RNAcentral lists this ribosomal RNA (465 nucleotides) under uncultured bacterium. RNAcentral's name for it is "partial 16S ribosomal RNA". It matches the Rfam family "Bacterial small subunit ribosomal RNA", at positions 28 to 507 of the family's 1533-position model. The record is from RNAcentral.
GACGAACGCUGGCGGCGUGCUUAACACAUGCAAGUCGAACGGAAAGGCCCCUUUGGGGGUACUCGAGUGGCGAACGGGUGAGUAACACGUGAGUAACCUGCCCUUGACUUCGGGAUAACUUCAGGAAACUGGGGCUAAUACCGGAUAGGAAUCCUUGCUGCAUGGUGGGGGUUGGAAAGCUUCGGCGGUUUUGGAUGGACUCGCGGCUUAUCAGCUUGUUGGUGGGGUAGUGGCUUACCAAGGCUUUGACGGGUAGCCGGCCUGGGAGGGCGACCGGCCACAUUGGGACUGAGAUACGGCCCAGACUCCUACGGGAGGCAGCAGUGGGGAAUAUUGCACAAUGGGCGGAAGCCUGAUGCAGCAACGCCGCGGGCGGGAUGACGGCCUUCGGGUUGGAAACCGCUUUCAGCAGGGGCGAAGCUUGUGGUGACGGUACCUGCAGAAGAAGCACCGGCUAACUACGUG